CACGGUAGUUUAUCUUGUCUUCUCCACAAGAACACAGGUCAAUCAGCUGGGGGGAAAAAAAAGCAACAGCGUAAAGAGUUGGAAGAAGCUGCAAACAUGUAUUUUUUUAGGGAGAAGUAUCCAGAGGUACACCUUAUGUGACAGAGCAGAAGAUCUCAUUCCCCAGUGUGGAAGAGCUUCCUACGUCAGUAGACCUGCAUCCCAGGCUGUGAAGGCUCUACUUCUCUGUUCUGGAGUCCACAGGAGAAGCAGACAACACUGGGAAGUAUUCUUUUCCUGAUGUAGUUGCCGAGACCAUCUUCAACAGCUGCUUAACAGAGCAAAGGAGGAAACAUCCCACUUAGAGCUGCUGGCUGAUGCUCUGCCUCUUAACCCAUGUUUCAAGAGAGCUGCAAGGAUAAGACCAGGCAAAGACUGACUUUGGGUAACAGGACCUCUCCUGAGGCAACUCAGAAUAUCUGCUGCAACACCUGGGGCCUGAAUUAAAAAUUGUACCUUCCCUCACAUUACGCCCUCUGUGGCCGGUGACUCAGGAAAUAACCAGAAUAAAAUACUUUGCUCUUCUGA
Non-coding RNA from Anas platyrhynchos (mallard), 567 nucleotides. The record is from RefSeq and is a predicted model, not a curated record. NCBI's taxonomy places the organism in Eukaryota, Metazoa, Chordata, Aves, Anseriformes, Anatidae.